GACGAACGCUGGCGGCGUGCUUAACACAUGCAAGUCGAGCGGAGCGGCGAACGGGUGAGUAACGCGUGAGUAACUGCCCCCCUCUCUGGGAUAACAGUUGGAAACGGAUGCUAAUACAGGAUAGUGGGGGAUGACUCGCGUCCUAUCAGCUUGGUGGUGUGGUAGUGGCCGACCACGGAGACGACGGUUAGCCGGCCGGAGAGGGCGACCGGCAACAUUGGGCGGAGAGACGGCCCAAACUCAGACGGGAGGAGGCAGUGGGGAAGAUUGCACAAUGGGGGAAACCCUGAUGCAGCAACGCCGUGUGCGGGAUGACUGCCUUCGGGUUGUAAACCGCUUUCAGCCAGGACGCGUUAGUGGCAGAAGAAGCACCGGCUAACUACGUGCCAGCAGCCGCGGUAAUAC
This 405-nucleotide ribosomal RNA is filed under the name uncultured bacterium. RNAcentral's name for it is "partial 16S ribosomal RNA". It matches the Rfam family "Bacterial small subunit ribosomal RNA", at positions 28 to 526 of the family's 1533-position model. The record is from RNAcentral.